Molecule: ribosomal RNA, 778 nt
Filed under: uncultured Neocallimastigales
Lineage: Eukaryota; Fungi; Neocallimastigomycota; Neocallimastigomycetes; Neocallimastigales
Description: partial large subunit ribosomal RNA
Rfam family: Eukaryotic large subunit ribosomal RNA
Source: RNAcentral
CGAGCACGCGCGUGUGGCAUAUCAAUAAGCGGAGGAAAAGAAACUAACAAGGAUUCCCUUAGUAACGGCGAGUGAAGCGGGAAGAGCUCAAAUUUGAAAUCUUCAAGGUUCUACCUUGACGAAUUGUAGUUUAAUAGAAGUGUUUUCUGUUAGUAGGAGGUGGCUAAAAGUUCUUUGGAAUAGGACAUCAUAGAGGGUGAGAAUCCCGUAUUUGAUCAUUCCUCCUAGCGUUGUGAUACACUUUCAACGAGUCGGAUUGUUUGGGAAUGCAGUCCAAAAUGGGUGGUAAAUUUCAUCUAAAGCUAAAUAUUGGCGGGAGACCGAUAGCGAACAAGUACCGUGAGGGAAAGAUGAAAAGAACUUUGAAAAGAGAGUUAAACAGUACGUGAAAUUGUCAAAAGGGAAGCGUUUGACACCAGUGUUGUUUUCUCGAAAAUCAAUUAAAAAGAGUUGGAUUUUGUAUUGUUAAGACCUUAUCAGCUUACUGUACUUUUUUCUUGCUCUUUUUAAUGCACUUUUCGUUUAACAAGUCAACAUCAAUUUCUUUUGUUGUAAAAGGGUCAUUGGAAGGUGGCUUUCACUUCGGUGAAAGUGUUUGUAGCCUUUGGCUUCUACAAUCGGAGAGAUUGAGGUCUGCAGCGUAGAUCCUUCGGGGUUAGAUACGUAGAUGCUAAGUUAUAGUUUUUUAUAGACAACUUGUUGACUAUGAUUAAUCAUGUAGCUUACUCGUUUACGCUAUUUUACCUACGCUUAGGAUGUUGAACUCUAUCACACACAG